UGUAAAUAGCAGUGUAUUGUAAAUAUGUUAUCACAACUUGUAUAUUUGCAGAACUUGAAUUUACGAUCUUUCCGUCCUUUUACAAUCUUUCCCUCCUUUCAGAUCAAUCUGUGAUAUCUUCUCUGUGAUGUCAUUCUUAUAGUAGCUGUGGUUCAAUGUUCAGAUGUGCAUGAAGAGAAUUUACCUGUAACAACUGGGAUAACCUGUGCCGUCCAAGAUGACAAGACCACUGUGUUAUGUUCACCUUGUAUCUGUGAUUUAUUUUUGUGAUUUUUAAUACAAUUUGAGCCAAAA
Haliotis rufescens (red abalone) is the source of this 294-nucleotide long non-coding RNA. RefSeq lists it as uncharacterized. The transcript is spliced from 2 exons. Lineage: Eukaryota; Metazoa; Mollusca; Gastropoda; Lepetellida; Haliotidae. The record is from RefSeq and is a predicted model, not a curated record.